UAUAUAUUAUUUACUAUUUACUAUUAAUUCAGUUCCAUUCAGUUUAGUUCAGUUCAACUCUAUUCAGUUCAGUUUAGUUCAGUUUAGUUUAGCUCCAUUCAGUUCAGUUCAGUUCAGAUAAUUUCAGUUCAGUUCAGUUCAGUUCAGCUCCAUUCAGUUCAGUUAAGUUCAAUUCAAUUCAGUUCAGUUCAGCCAAAUAAAGUUCAGCUACAUUUGAUUCAAGUCAUUGUCUACAAUCAAGACCCUUACACAUCCAAAGCUGCUAAGAUGAGCUCUACUAGCUCUUACAAACCACUUACAACGCAAAAAUAUUAAAGUUACAGAGAUAGUAAUCGUCUUGUAAUGUGGCUCUCGAUUGUUGAAGUCAUCGUCCACACUUCUAAUUCUUCUUUCACUUAGGCCAAAACUUGGGCAAUGAACACUAUGGAGAACCCCUUUAAACCCGUAGCAUUCAAAGGACAAAGAAAGACACGAAAGGACGGCAAGAUGACGAAAUGGUUGACACGACCUUAUGAGCAGAAGCUCAAUAACAAACUGAGUGAACAUGCUAUGAACCCCCAAAAACAUUUGGGGAGCAGUCUUCGGAUAAGAAAUUUUGAAUCCAAAGAGAAUAUACCUCUUUGCAGACCUAAAAAGAGCAACCACAUCUCGCAAACACCAAACACUCCUUCCAUAGACACUUCUACAAACUCCUUCCUUCAUCCUAGGACCUAACAUACCACUUUCAAGGGUGGUAUAAACAGUAGGAGCAAUACUGUUGUGAGAUCUUUUACGGUGAUGACGUGUCACGCGUUCCUCGAAGGUAUCAACUAUGAGCUGGCACGAACUUCUGGCAACCUGCAAAAUAAGAAUAUUCCCGUAGGAAUAUUCCCUCCGAUGCUUAAGUAAGUAUAUGCUAGAGAGAGAAGUAAUUUUAGAGAGAAGGCAGAGCAAAGGUAGUUUUAAGGUAGGUGGGAAUGAAUUGAUUGCCCUUCUACCUAGGGAUCUGCACUAUUUAUAGUGCUAGGGUUUCUUAGGAAUUGGUCCCUCAUAGAUGCAUGAUUGGGUGCUUUGUAAGAUUGGGACACGUGUCCGCUAUAUUGGAGACUUUGUUUAGGCCCGGUGGGCCUCUUGAGCAUUUGGGCUUUUUGGGUAUAGCGGAUCAGGAUCUUCCUGAGCAGAUGGGUCUCAUGACCUACUGAUGGGCCUUGGACCUGGAGGUGUGUGUGAGUUUAUGAGACGAUUCGCGGUUUGUUGUGCUUUCAUUUGGUGUUCUUGGAUUCUUCAUUCAGUGUUCUUGGAGCGUGGACGAUUUUGUUCAGCCUUUCUGUCAGUUUGAUCACUCUUUGGACGGCAUGGCUCGAAUUAGGCAAACAACCAACGUGGGUGCAUGGGCAGCGUCGCGAGAGAGGGACAACAUAGUUCCUUUUUCGAGCCCGUCCCAGGGAAAUAGGGGUGGAGUCAGCUCCUCCCAUCAUUCGGGAGACGGGGCUGUAAGGGCGGCACGUUCUUCAAGGAGAAGGAAGAGCGUGGCUCGCCGUCCUCGUGUUCCUCGUGAGGAUUUUGAGGAUGACUCCUCUAGUUCUUCUGACGAGGAGUUUGCAAAAUACCUUCCUCCUAUGGUUCAGGGAAAAGAAGAUGUAGAUUUGCUUCCUUCUGACAUCUUUCCCAGCAUGAAAUGGCUGAGGUAUCUGAUGAGUGACAUUUAUGUCACUCCUAGGGGGUAGUUUUUAAGUAUUUUUUAGGUUAUUUUAUAAUUUAUUUGUCUAAUUUUAUCAUUUUUAGCUUUUACUUAUUUUAUUUUAUAUUGUGUAGCUUAAUUAGCGUAAUUAGUGAUUUUUCUUUGUUUUUAGGUCUAAUUUCGCAAUUUAGUUAUUUUAUUUGUUUUAUCAUUUUAUAGUUUAAUUAUAGUUUCGUUAUUAUUUUUCUAAUCUAUUUCUAUUUAGUUAUUAUUAUUUACUUUUUUAUAUUUAUUUAUUUUCAGUUUAUUUUUAUUUCGUGAUUUUCCCUCGUGUUUGUUUUUAUGUGUGUAGGUGGCCGAGUACUUUGAGGUCGGACACGAGUUCAACAAUCGAGUUAAUUGGGUCAACUUGUCAAAGAACUAGAGAAUUGAAUUAUGGACAAUGUAGUUUGUGGGCCUCAAAACUUGGGCCAAACUGCUGCCAAGAAUUGUGCAACAUUCCUCUCCUAUCCUACACCACCUCCUCUCCUAUCCUACACCACCACCUACACCACCCUACUCAGCGCCAAUCAGCCACGCAUCUCCUUCCGUCCAACUUCUCACCUCCAUUCAAACACCAAACAACGCAGCCCAACCUGCCUUCCCUCGCCUUCAACCACCGUCAACCACCUGCCGCCAUCCACGCAGCCACCAUAGCUACGAUAUCCGCGCCAACUUCGCACAACCAAGAAUCGACCAUCAUCGCCACCCAACAUCAACUACAACAGCUAAACAACACACAACCAAUCAAAAUCACAGCCAAAAUUCGCCCAAAACUGCAACUAAUUGCAUCGAUAAAACAGGGCAAAACAGAGAAAAAGCAGAGCCUAUUGGUUCGGUCGGACCCGUAUAUUAGUUCGGCGGAACCCAAAAUUUUUGAGUUCCUGACAAGGUCGGGUCCGGACGAACAUUCCUUGAGUUCGCCCAAACUAGAAACGGGUUCGCCCGAACCUCCAUUAAAGUUCGACCGAACUUUUGGGCGCUCAAUUGUUGUACGGAAUUAAUGAAAUUGAGCGGCUGCGAUUUGAUCGAGUAAUGGACGAUGGAUGAUGCGAUUUUGAUUGAUUUGAGCAGCGAUUUUGAUGAUGGUCGAGAUGAUAAUGAUCGUUGAUGGUGAUGACCGUUGAUGAUGAAUAACAACUGCUGAUGGUGAACGGUUGAUGAUUGAUGUGGGAUGAUGGUGGACGAGGAUGAUGAAAGUAGGGGAGCGCAGCGAAGCCACGAAAGAGACAAAGAGGAGGGGUCUGAUGAUUGUGGGCUGGAGUAGCAGCGAAAGUGAAGACGAAGAAAAUCACGGGUCUGAUGGAUUCAUUGGGCUCCUUUUACCUUUCUUCCUUUUUAUAAUUAUUUCUCUUUCUCUUUUUCUUUUUUUUCUUUUGUUUAAUUCUUAUUUUUUCUUUUCUUUCUUUCUUUUAAUUUCACUUCUUUUGAUUUUUAUCCUUUUUCUUUUGAUUUUCUUUUUCUAUUUUUCUUAAUUAGCUUGAAUGAUAUAAAUACCCAAUUUUUGGGUCAAAGAAACCAUGUAAAUAAUUAGUUUAGUUCUUCUUUCUCUUAGGGUUUAGGGUUUUUCUUGAGUUUAGUUUCUAUUUUCUAAGAGUGAGAAAGUGAUGAAAAAUCAUUGAAAAUGGAGGAUUAUGGAUAAUACAAGAAGAUUUGAAGCAUUCAUUCAUCAAUCAAUGAGAAUUUUCUA
Spinacia oleracea (spinach) is the source of this 3389-nucleotide long non-coding RNA. RefSeq lists it as uncharacterized. The transcript has 2 exons. NCBI's taxonomy places the organism in Eukaryota, Viridiplantae, Streptophyta, Magnoliopsida, Caryophyllales, Amaranthaceae. The record is from RefSeq and is a predicted model, not a curated record.